GAAGAUAUAGCUCAGUGGUACAGUGCAUUCCUAGUAUGCAUGAGGUCCUGGGUUCAAUCCCCAGUACCUCCA
RNAcentral lists this transfer RNA (72 nucleotides) under Camelus bactrianus (Bactrian camel). It matches the Rfam family "tRNA". From Rfam's summary of the family: Transfer RNA (tRNA) molecules are approximately 80 nucleotides in length. Their secondary structure includes four short double-helical elements and three loops (D, anti-codon, and T loops). Further hydrogen bonds mediate the characteristic L-shaped molecular structure. tRNAs have two regions of fundamental functional importance: the anti-codon, which is responsible for specific mRNA codon recognition, and the 3' end, to which the tRNAs corresponding amino acid is attached (by aminoacyl-tRNA synthetases). tRNAs cope with the degeneracy of the genetic code in two manners: having more than one tRNA (with a specific anti-codon) for a particular amino acid; and 'wobble' base-pairing, i.e. permitting non-standard base-pairing at the 3rd anti-codon position. RNAcentral also lists the same sequence under 1 other name. Lineage: Eukaryota; Metazoa; Chordata; Mammalia; Artiodactyla; Camelidae. The record is from Rfam by way of RNAcentral.